UACGUAGGGGGCAAGCGUUAUCCGGAUUUACUGGGUGUAAAGGGCGUGUAGGCGGGAUGGUAAGUCAGAUGUGAAAACUAUGGGCUCAACCCAUAGCCUGCAUUUGAAACUAUCGUUCUUGAGUGUUGGAGAGGCAGGCGGAAUUCCGUGUGUAGCGGUGAAAUGCGUAGAUAUACGGAGGAACACCAGCGGCGAAGGCGGCUUACUGGAUCGUGACUGACGUUGAGGCUCGAAAGCGUGGGGAGCAAACAGG
This 253-nucleotide ribosomal RNA is filed under the name uncultured Oscillospira sp. Its description in RNAcentral is "partial 16S ribosomal RNA". It matches the Rfam family "Bacterial small subunit ribosomal RNA", at positions 524 to 776 of the family's 1533-position model. Lineage: Bacteria; Bacillati; Bacillota; Clostridia; Eubacteriales; Oscillospiraceae. The record is from RNAcentral.